GUAUCCUUACCUGAAUACAUAGGGUAAGGAGGCGAACCGGGGGAACUGAAACAUCUAAGUACCCCGAGGAAAAGAAAUCAACCGAGAUUCCGAAAGUAGCGGCGAGCGAAAUUGGACUAGCCCUUAAGCUUUACACGCGUUAGACGAACGGUCUGGAAAGUCCGACGAUACAGGGUGAUAGUCCCGUAGUUGACGACGUGUGUUCAGUGAAAUCGAGUAGGGCGGGACACGUGAUAUCCUGUCUGAAUAUGGGGGGACCAUCCUCCAAGGCUAAAUACUACUGACUGACCGAUAGUGAACCAGUACCGUGAGGGAAAGGCGAAAAGAACCCCUGUGAGGGG
This 341-nucleotide ribosomal RNA is filed under the name Vibrio parahaemolyticus. RNAcentral's name for it is "partial 23S ribosomal RNA". It matches the Rfam family "Bacterial large subunit ribosomal RNA", at positions 148 to 536 of the family's 2925-position model. The record is from RNAcentral. Lineage: Bacteria; Pseudomonadati; Pseudomonadota; Gammaproteobacteria; Vibrionales; Vibrionaceae.